AGAGUUUGAUCAUGGCUCAGAUUGAACGCUGGCGGCAUGCUUUACACAUGCAAGUCGAACGGCAGCACGGGCUUCGGCCUGGUGGCGAGUGGCGAACGGGUGAGUAAUGCAUCGGAACGUGCCCAUGUCGUGGGGGAUAACGUAGCGAAAGCUACGCUAAUACCGCAUACGCCCUGAGGGGGAAAGCGGGGGAUUCUUCGGAACCUCGCGCGAUUGGAGCGGCCGAUGUCGGAUUAGCUAGUAGGUGAGGUAAAGGCUCACCUAGGCGACGAUCCGUAGCGGGUCUGAGAGGAUGAUCCGCCACACUGGGACUGAGACACGGCCCAGACUCCUACGGGAGGCAGCAGUGGGGAAUUUUGGACAAUGGGGGCAACCCUGAUCCAGCCAUGCCGCGUGAGUGAAGAAGGCCUUCGGGUUGUAAAGCUCUUUCGGCCGGGAAGAAAUCGGCGACUCUAACAUAGUCGCUGGAUGACGGUACCGGACUAAGAAGCACCGGCUAACUACGUGCCAGCCGCCGCGGUAAUAC
RNAcentral lists this ribosomal RNA (526 nucleotides) under uncultured bacterium. RNAcentral describes it as "bacterial SSU rRNA". It matches the Rfam family "Bacterial small subunit ribosomal RNA", at positions 8 to 526 of the family's 1533-position model. The record is from RNAcentral.